RNAcentral lists this ribosomal RNA (287 nucleotides) under uncultured Peptoniphilus sp. RNAcentral describes it as "partial 16S ribosomal RNA". It matches the Rfam family "Bacterial small subunit ribosomal RNA", at positions 76 to 354 of the family's 1533-position model. The record is from RNAcentral. Lineage: Bacteria; Bacillati; Bacillota; Tissierellia; Tissierellales; Peptoniphilaceae.
UUCGGGCGAAGAUAAGACGGAUUAGCGGCGGACGGGUGAGUAACACGUGAGUAACCUGCCUUUUACACAGGGAUAGCCUCGGGAAACCGGGAUUAAAACCUGAUGAAACUAUCAAAUCACAUGAUUAAGAAAGUUAAAACUCCGGUGGUAAAAGAUGGACUCGCGUCCCAUUAGCUAGUUGGUGAAGGUAACGGCCCACCAAGGCAACGAUGGGUAGCCGGCCUGAGAGGGUGAACGGCCACAUUGGAACUGAGAAACGGUCCAAACUCCUACGGGAGGCAGCAGGU